CGUCCUACGGGGCGCAGCAGUGGGGAAUUUUGCGCAAUGGGGGAAACCCUGACGCAGCAACGCCGCAUGCGGGACGAAGGCCCUCGGGUCGUAAACCGCUUUAAGCAGGGAAGACCUUACGACGGUACCUGCAGAAGAAGCUCCGGCUAACUACGUGCCAGCAGCCGCGGUAAUACGUAGGGGGCGAGCGUUAUCCGGAUUCAUUGGGCGUAAAGCGCGCGUAGGCGACCGCCUAAGCGGAACCUCUACCCCCGGGGCUCAACCUCGGGCCGGGUUCCGGACUGGGCGGCUCGAGUGCGGUAGAG
Molecule: ribosomal RNA, 305 nt
Filed under: uncultured bacterium
Lineage: Bacteria
Description: bacterial SSU rRNA
Rfam family: Bacterial small subunit ribosomal RNA
Source: RNAcentral